Molecule: unclassified non-coding RNA, 338 nt
Filed under: Hevea brasiliensis (rubber tree)
Lineage: Eukaryota; Viridiplantae; Streptophyta; Magnoliopsida; Malpighiales; Euphorbiaceae
Source: RNAcentral
AGAUUUCAAAGUUAAAAUGUAUGGAAAGCAUCAUCCUAACUCCACACUACAAGGGAAACAGACAACAGAACAGAUAAUAUCAAACAAAACGAAGAUGAAGGUAGUUAGAGGAAAUGAGAAAAUAUUUGCAUGAGAAAAUGUUAGAUAAUGUCGAUUUCAACGUAACAAAUACACAUUAAAAAACAGUACUAUUGGAGUGGACAGUAGAAGCUGCAUCUGUGUAAUCUUGGCUGAAUGUUCUGUUCCAACUGAACUAGAAUUCCUUGGUUUUGUUAGCAUGAUUAUAGUGUUUGAAAACCUUAUAAUCAUGAUUACAGGGUUUCUAACUACUUAGUGAC